RNAcentral lists this ribosomal RNA (1093 nucleotides) under uncultured organism. RNAcentral's name for it is "bacterial SSU rRNA". It matches the Rfam family "Bacterial small subunit ribosomal RNA", at positions 104 to 1197 of the family's 1533-position model. The record is from RNAcentral.
GGGUGCGUAACGCGUAUACCAUCUGCCCUUUACUAAGGCAUAGCCCAUGGAAACGUGGAUUAAUACCUUAUGGUAUGCAGACCUCGCAUGAGCGUCUGCAUUAAAGGUUACGGUAAAGGAUGAGUAUGCGUCCUAUUAGCUAUUAUGUAGGGUAACGGCCUACAUAGGCGAUGAUAGGUAGGGGUUCUGAGAGGGAGAUCCCCCACACUGGUACUGAGACACGGACCAGACUCCUACGGGAGGCAGCAGUGAGGAAUAUUGGACAAUGGGAGCAAUCCUGAUCCAGCCAUGCCGCGUGCAGGAAGACGGUCCUAUGGAUUGUAAACUGCUUUUAUACAGGAAGAAAAAGGCGUACGUGUACGCUGUUGACGGUACUGUAUGAAUAAGGAUCGGCUAACUCCGUGCCAGCAGCCGCGGUAAUACGGAGGAUCCGAGCGUUAUCCGGAAUUAUUGGGUUUAAAGGGUCCGUAGGCGGGAUAAUAAGUCAGUGGUGAAAGUUUGUGGCUCAACCAUAAAAUUGCCAUUGAUACUGUUAUUCUUGAGUAAUUGUGAAGUGGUUAGAAUGUGUAGUGUAGCGGUGAAAUGCAUAGAUAUUACACAGAAUACCAAUUGCGAAGGCAGAUCACUAACAAUUAACUGACGCUGAUGGACGAAAGCGUAGGUAGCGAACAGGAUUAGAUACCCUGGUAGUCUACGCAGUAAACGAUGGUUACUAGCUGUUUGGCCGCCUUAGGCGGCUAAGUGGCCAAGCGAAAGUGAUAAGUAACCCACCUAGGGAGUACGUUCGCAAGAAUGAAACUCAAAGGAAUUGACGGGGGCCCGCACAAGCGGUGGAGCAUGUGGUUUAAUUCGAUGAUACGCGAGGAACCUUACCAGGGCUUAAAUGCAGUUUGACAGGAGUGGAAACAUUCUUUUCUUCGGACAGAUUGCAAGGUGCUGCAUGGUUGUCGUCAGCUCGUGCCGUGAGGUGUCAGGUUAAGUCCUAUAUCGAGCGCAACCCCUAUGGUUAGUUGCUAGCAGGUCAUGCUGAGAAGUCUAGCCAGGCUGCCGGUGUAAACCGUGAGGAAGGUGGGGAUGACGUCAAAUCAUCACG